RNAcentral lists this ribosomal RNA (372 nucleotides) under uncultured organism. RNAcentral's name for it is "bacterial SSU rRNA". It matches the Rfam family "Bacterial small subunit ribosomal RNA", at positions 526 to 896 of the family's 1533-position model. The record is from RNAcentral.
CGGAGGGUGCAAGCGUUGUUCGGAAUUACUGGGCGUAAAGCGCGGGCAGGUGGUCCUUUAAGUCCUUUGUGAAAUCCCGGGGCUCAACUCCGGAUGUGCAUAGGAUACUGGAGGACUGGAGACUGGUAGAGGCGAGCGGAAUUCCUGGUGUAGCGGUGGAAUGCGUAGAUAUCAGGAAGAACACCGGUGGCGAAGGCGGCUCGCUGGGCCAGUUCUGACACUCAUCCGCGAAAGCGUGGGGAGCAAACAGGAUUAGAUACCCUGGUAGUCCACGCUGUAAACGAUGGGCACUAGAUGCCGGGCCUAUAGACGGGUUCGGUGUCGCGGCUAACGCAUUAAGUGCCCCGCCUGGGGAGUACGGCCGCAAGGCUG